CUCCGCCGCCGCCGCCCCCUCCCCUUCCAACGGAGGAGGAGAUCCAGGCGGAGCGCGCCAUCUCCAUCGCCACGGCCCCCGGCCUUCGUCGAGCCGCUCGUCAUCUUCCUCGUCCUCGUCGUCAACGCCGCCGCCGGCGUCUGGCAGGUGGACUCCGGCGGCUCCUCUUCAUCUUCUUCCUCGUCCCCACGCGCGGCUCCACUUCCCGCUGGCCAUGGGGUGCAGCCUUAAGGGGCACAUCGGGCUGGGCAUCCUCUGUUUCUGAGUGCACGGGGCCGUUCGAGGCGCACUUGUGGAAUAAGAACACAUGCACAGAGCCGCAGAGGAAGUAGAAAGGGAGGCAAGUUUAUUUCGGUGAGCAGAGCACCCUCUUUCAGUCUAUAUUUCGGUGUCCAAGUACAGAGGCUUCGCAAGGCAUCACCACAACGGCAAAUGGGAAUCUAGGAUUGGGCGUGUGUUUGGCAAUAAGUAUCUCUACCUAGGUACCUAUGGUUGAUUCUAUAACUCCAUAGGCUUAAACCAGAGCAGCGGAAGAACAAGUUGUAUGUUUGUCGAGGUGCUCUCAUAUUUAUUUGACAUGAUAAAGCAUGGACCUUCUUGCUCAGGUUUCAGAUUUCUCAAUCCAUACUUUCGUGCAAGUAUCAAUUCUUGACUGGUUGUUCAGUAACCAUGCACGUUUUCAUUUUCUAUCUAUAUCAUCAGUAUUGAAGUUCAUAUGCUAAACCUUAUAUUAUUGGCUUUAGAACAUUGCAAAUCAGGGUAGGCGGUGCAUUUGGGAAAUUCAUAUUCUAUUCAUAGGCACUUCGUUAAUACAGUCAAAUGCUUCACGGUUGAAUAUGCUACUUCAUUUUUUAGGUGUCCUAAGGUUUCAUAAUUCGUUGUAUUAUCUAAAGCAGCAUGUUUUAUCAUUUUAGUUUGCAUUGCGCCAAUCACAAACCACAAAAAAUACACACGCUCACCCAGUCACCCUUUGUAGGUUGUUAGAGCACACUCUGAAUUCUACCAAUUUCUUUCCAUGGCUUAUAUGUGACCAAAUGCUCCAGAUUAUAUAUGAAAUACUCCUGUUUACACAAGCUUAACUUUUCCCUGUGAUUGGAUACAUCACAUUCUUACAUCUAAAAUAAGAAAAUAGCUACAACACAUUGAGGCAAAAGGCAAAUGUACAUGCUCCUUACACUUAUCAGAAACAUUUUCCAGGGAGUUCCUUUUUAAUGUUUCUCAUCUGAAAUUGGAUUCAUAAUAAUGACAUUCUUACAUCUCAAAUGAAAGGAUCCAUUCUAUAGAAAUAAAUUGCUUUAAUUCACAUUCUUACAUUUCCAGACUAGAGAGGUUGUAUGUGAUGAGUGAUCGGUUGUUUUCUGGAUUAACAUGUGAAUUUCCAACUUGACCGACAUAGUGUUCGAGUAGAGCUAGGGUGGUUUCAGGCCUCUGCUUCUGGUUAUUACAAGCUAGGUAUUAUUGUGGCAGUGAUCGGAAACUUAUACAUGACCCAUCACCAUCAUGUCCAUGCCCCAGACUUGGGUGAGCGCUCAAGGAAGAAAUUUGUAGUUCCACUGUUGGAUUCCAAGCAGGCAAUUCAUGAUCAGCCUUGCGCAAGCUAUGGAGUUUCAAGAAAUCGAUUGACAGGUGGAGUGACUGCUGGGGUCAUAAACGAAGAAACAAUCAAGUCACUGGACAGCAAAACAGAUUAUUUAUUCCCAAUGUCGUUGCUCUUUCAAAAUUGCAGGCCUAUUGGUUAUGUGGUGGUUAUGCUGGUUUUAUCUUCCGGUUGGUUGUUAGUCCCCUACAAGAGUUUUCACAAUAUGAAAAGGCUCCAAAAGGUGUCACGGUCAGGAAUCUUUUUUCCAGGCAUCCGGUGAUGAUCAGGUAACCAAACCAUAUCACAGGAUGUUUGUUUGUGUGGUCUGCCAAAGUAAUGCUCUUCUUUUGUGGUAUGUGGAAAGUAAUGCUCUCUUUGUUAUUCAUUUUUGGAGCCGUUAAAUAUUUUUUUCCUCAUAAUAGUUUUAGAUGUUAUGCCUUAGCAUAUUAUAUCAACGAGAAGUGAACGUGUCUUAGCUCGUAUUUUCUAAAUUAGUGUCUUCCGGCGCGCACUGAGUAUUGCCUCGGCUACAACCUCCCUCGGUGAGCUCCAUCUUCCUCCUGUUCCUCUGCUUUGGCUACUGUAUGUGACAUCCAGAAAUAAGAGAAGAAGGCUCCUACAAGAUCUCUCAGAGCUUAGGCACUCUCAGCCGUCGGAUCGUUUCCCUUGAUGCGUUCUCGUCCGUCCGAUCGAGCUCUGGAGAAGCCUGGGCCGUUGGAUCUGGGACAAACACUGCUGGAAUGAAUAGUUUCACUCCGUUUCGUUCCACCGCGCAUUAUUUUGGUGCCCCGCCGAGGGUAUUCUCAUCAUUUUGCUUUGUCUGUGGCGGUGGCUUUCGUGCUAGGGCGAUGAUGAUUAACUGUGGCUGAAAUAAGUGUGCCUUUGAGCAAUCGAGGUACCUGUGGGUAUCAAGUUGGAUCCUCCCUGUUGUCUCUAGAAUCCUUUUUAAUCCUGUGAUACCUAUUGAUCUGUCCUUGGAUGGUCAUUCUUGUUGAUUGAUAACCAGGGCAGCUCCAUUGUAUAAACAGAUUGAUCUGGUGAUAAGAGAUGAUGGGGGUAGGUUAUAUGAUCAAGGAAAGGCGAAUCUGAGCCCACUAUGCAAUGAACAUCAAACCCUUUUUAUUUGUAUUUAAAGGCGUUGCUUACUUAUGCUCCAGUGUUUAUAGCCGUCUUGUGUAAAGAUUUAUUCUCACUUAUAACUUUAUUGCAUAUAAGUUGUUCUUGAUCUUUUAUUGUUCGUCAUUGGUCCUUGAUUUAGUCUGGUUAGGAACUCUUCUGUCUCUUAUGUAAAGAUUUCUUCUCUCUCAUACCAAUGUUUGUCCAUGUAGUAACAGAUAUAUAUUUCAAGCAUGACAUGAAUAAACCUGAAUGGUCUUUGAGAUGAGAUGCAUGGUUGUACAAUAUAGGGUACUAAGUUAGAGAUCGGCUGUCCCUAUGAAUGCAAACUAUUGUCAGCUAUAAACAUGUUUGCCUCCUAUAGUGUUUGGCCUAAUUAGUUAUUGGGUUGAUUUUGGUAGUUCUACUUUUUUGUUGCCAACAAUAUGCAAGUUAAUGUUCAGGGUGUGCUUUGGCCUUGGGAUUCUUUACUGUUUUUAUUCUAGAUGUGGUGGUCUUAUUAGUCAGGGUGUGCUCUGAACAAAGACAUGUAUAGACUUUAGAUUUUAAUGCCUAUCUCUGUCAUACAAAGUAAUGCAUGGUCCUGUGUUUUAUCUCUGGUCGUAUGAAAGCACCGAGCUUGAUUCUGCCUUAUAACCUGAUGUCAUCUUCAGUCUCAUUAUGUUUUGCUUUUAACACAAUUGGUUGUCUGCACAUGCUGUACUUGGGUUCCUACCGACAAAUUGUUACAUGCUUUGUAAAAAUGUUGUGACCGGCACCCUUGCGCCAAGGCACGAACCCCCGUGCCUCGCGCUUCUGGCAGCUCCUGGAGGUCGUCGUGCCCUACUCCAGGGCCUCCAUGGCACAACUACUCGGCAAGUUGCCCCUGCAGUUCAGGGGCAAGCAGGUCAUAGAGGACAUGGCACUGGCUAUGUUCAACCGUGCCCUGAAGCUUUCUGGACCAGGUCUACAAGUCAUGGGUGUUGGAUUUACUGGGUCACUCGCUAGCUCACACCCAAAACAUGGUGACCACAGGAUGGAAAUGUUCCUUGGCACCAUGACGAACAUCAACUUAGGAACAACCUUUUUAUUUUAUUUUCUGUUGCCUAAAUGAUUACAUUAUCCUUUUCUAACCUGUUGGUGUUAGAGACAUCUUAGCAUUCAGGCAGGUUUAGUUCAUUGUUUAUUAAUUCCUAUUAUGUAAAAAAAAUCACUGAUCAUCGCUUGACAGAAAAUGUUUUGAUAUGCAA
Triticum aestivum (bread wheat) is the source of this 3924-nucleotide long non-coding RNA. RefSeq lists it as uncharacterized. NCBI's taxonomy places the organism in Eukaryota, Viridiplantae, Streptophyta, Magnoliopsida, Poales, Poaceae. The record is from RefSeq and is a predicted model, not a curated record. The transcript has 9 exons.